CGCGGUAAUACGUAGGUGGCAAGCGUUGUCCGGGAUUUACUGGGCGUAAAGGAUGUGUAGGCGGAUACUUAAGUGAGAUGUGAAAGCCCCGGGCUUAACCUGGGGACUGCAUUUCAAACUGGGUAUCUAGAGUGCAGGAGAGGAAAGCGGAAUUCCUAGUGUAGCGGUGAAAUGCGUAGAGAUUAGGAAGAACAUCAGUGGCGAAGGCGGCUAUCUGGACUGUAACUGACGCUGAGGCAUGAAAGCGUGGGGAGCAAACAGGAUUAGAUACCCUGGUAGUCCACGCCGUAAACGAUGAGUACUAGGUGUAGGAGGUAUCGACUCCUUCUGUGCCGCAGUUAACACAAUAAGUACUCCGCCUGGGAAGUACGGUCGCAAGAUUAAAACUCAAAGGAAUUGACGGGGGCCCGCACAAGCAGCGGAGCAUGUGGUUUAAUUCGAAGCAACGCGAAGAACCUUACCUAGACUUGACAUCUCCUGAAUAGCGUAGAGAUACGUGAAGCCCUUCGGGGCAGGAAGACAGGUGGUGCAUGGUUGUCGUCAGCUCGUGUCGUGAGAUGUUGGGUUAAGUCCCGCAACGAGCGCAACCCUUAUCAUUAGUUGCUACCAUUAAGUUGAGCACUCUAGUGAGACUGCCCGGGUUAACCGGGAGGAAGGCGGGGAUGACGUCAAAUCAUCAUGCCCCUUAUGUCUAGGGCUACACACGUGCUACAAUGGUGAGAACAACGAGAUGCAAUACCGCGAGGUGGAGCCAAACUUGAAAACUCAUCCCAGUUCGGAUUGCAGGCUGAAAUUCGCCUGCAUGAAGUUGGAGUUGCUAGUAAUCGCGAAUCAGAAUGUCGCGGUGAAUACGUUCCCGGGCCUUGUACACACCGCCCGUCACACCAUGAGAGCUGGUAACACCCGAAGU
This 910-nucleotide ribosomal RNA is filed under the name uncultured bacterium. RNAcentral describes it as "bacterial SSU rRNA". It matches the Rfam family "Bacterial small subunit ribosomal RNA", at positions 516 to 1427 of the family's 1533-position model. The record is from RNAcentral.